This 492-nucleotide ribosomal RNA is filed under the name uncultured bacterium. RNAcentral describes it as "partial 16S ribosomal RNA". It matches the Rfam family "Bacterial small subunit ribosomal RNA", at positions 29 to 507 of the family's 1533-position model. The record is from RNAcentral.
AGUGAACGCUGGCGGUAGGCCUAACACAUGCAAGUCGAACGGCAGCACAGUAAGAGCUUGCUCUUACGGGUGGCGAGUGGCGGACGGGUGAGGAAUACAUCGGAAUCUACUUUUUCGUGGGGGAUAACGUAGGGAAACUUACGCUAAUACCGCAUACGACCUACGGGUGAAAGCAGGGGAGCUUCGGACUUUGCGCGAUUGAAUGAGCCGAUGUCGGAUUAGCUAGUUGGCGGGGUAAAGGCCCACCAAGGCGACGAUCCGUAGCUGGUCUGAGAGGAUGAUCAGCCACACUGGAACUGAGACACGGUCCAGACUCCUACGGGAGGCAGCAGUGGGGAAUAUUGGACAAUGGGCGCAAGCCUGAUCCAGCCAUACCGCGUGGGUGAAGAAGGCCUUCGGGUUGUAAAGCCCUUUUGUUGGGAAAGAAAAGCAGCAGGUUAAUACCCCGCUGUUCUGACGGUACCCAAAGAAUAAGCACCGGCUAACUUCGUG